GAUUUUUAUAAACAAAAGUGUAUAAUAUUUGAAAUGGACGAACAGGAGAUUGUUAGCGAAAUUCUCGCGGAAAGUGAAUUCGUCGCAGAAUGUUUUUUUAGUAGCGAUUCAUCUGAUGGUGAUGUAGAAUUACUUAAUAAAUGUUCUUAUAGCGUUGUCAAGCACGUGAGGACAACCAUAAGAAAUUAUUGCACUGAGAUAGUUCCUAGUUACACAGAAGUUGAAUUUUUUUCACAUUUUAGAAUAAGCAAAGCUUUAUGCUAUGCUUUGAUUGAUAAAUUUACUGUUAGUGAAAUUUAUCAAACAAUAUUAAGCGCAGGUCACAGAAACAUUUCGGCGGAAAAGCAUUUUUUAGCUUUUUUAUGGUUUUGUGGCCAUCAAACUGUGUCAUUCCGGGAUGUGGCUGAUAGAUUCGAUCUAUCAAUAAGUAGUUUGCAUGAUAUCAUAACAAGAGUAUCUCUUUGGCUAAGUAAUAUGGCAUGUCAUGUUAUAAAAUGGCCUUCUAAAGAAGAAAAAAAACAUACCAAGGAGUAUUAUAAAAGAAUUUCAGGAUUCCCUAGUGUGAUAGGUGCAAUAGAUGGAACACAUAUUAAAAUUGAUAGGCCAAAAGACCGAUUAUUGCAACAGAAAAGAUUAUUUUUCUAUUAUAUUGCAAGGAACAUGCAAUGAAAAAAAAAAAUGUAUAGACAUAUUUAUUGGAUAUCCAGGAUCUGUUCAUGAUGCACGUGUCUUCCAAAACUCUUCAUUGUAUAAUUUUUUAUAUAGUGAUGAUGAAGGCAAUUAUUUAGAUUAUUUAACAAUAGCUAUAUAUUAGGAGAUAGUGCAUAUCCAUUAUCAGAACGUGUAAUGGUGCCAUAUAAAGAUAAUGGACAUCUAACAUCGGCACAGAAACACUUCAAUAGAAAACACAGCCAAUGCCGUGUAUCUAUUGAACACACGUUCGGAUUGUUGAAACAAAGAUGCCGGCAGUUGUAUCACCUGAAGCUUCGUGGCCCAGAAAGAAUUUGUCAUUUCAUUCGUGCAUGUUGUGUUUUACACAAUUUGGCCGAUGAAGAAAACACAAAUGUUUUACAACAUGAUUCAGUGGAUGAUGUGCAACCAGCAACGCAGGACGAAAAAGAGAACAGAAAUAGAGGAACAGUGUUAAGAAACGAAAUUUGUAAUUAUUUAUUUAUGAAUAGAUAAAAAAUUCAA
RNAcentral lists this unclassified non-coding RNA (1194 nucleotides) under Onthophagus taurus. Its description in RNAcentral is "uncharacterized LOC111428940, transcript variant X1". The record is from RNAcentral. Lineage: Eukaryota; Metazoa; Arthropoda; Insecta; Coleoptera; Scarabaeidae.